Triticum aestivum (bread wheat) is the source of this 1492-nucleotide long non-coding RNA. RefSeq lists it as uncharacterized. Lineage: Eukaryota; Viridiplantae; Streptophyta; Magnoliopsida; Poales; Poaceae. The transcript has 4 exons. The record is from RefSeq and is a predicted model, not a curated record.
ACCAAAAAGAAACACAGGACACACGGGCAUGUAUGCAUCGAAGGAGAGCCCGGGGUAUGGCCGCCGCCGCCGCCACGCGUGGAUGAUCUUCCUGUCCGGCCAUCGGCGUAGCCCACGCGGGCGAGCUGCAGAUUUGGAUGGGCUGCCUGGCCCACGCAGCGGACCGCGGUGGUUCGAGCAACUCCUCGACGCAGGGGAAAAGAUUGGCGGCGCUGGAGUUCGCCGGAAUGGGCAGGCGGCCGGUGGGUGACGCGAGGCCGCGGCGCCGGCGCGAGGAAGACGAGCGGAUCCGGGGCGGCGGCGACCGAUCCGGCUGCUGGUGCGGCGGCUUGCUCCGGUGGCGGCGGCGUCCUGCUCAUCCGUAGAAAGAGGGACAGGGCGUGAGGGAGAGAGGAAGAAAGGAGAGGGUGAAGGGGGCGCAGGGUCAGGGAGGUGGUCGGUAGCGGUGGCGGCUCCGGCGACCGGCCGGCGGGCUUGCCAGGCAAGGCUAAGGAGUACGCCAGCCUAAGAUUCGAUAGCGACUAGACAGCAGACCAAGGCCAUGGAUCGGUUGAUUCAACAGGGAAGGAAGAGACAGCAGGUUAUAAAACGAGCUUGGGGAUUAACUGGCCUGAAACUUAAACAGGGCCGCCCUGAUGAUGGACUCAAGCUCCAGAAUCAAGAUAUGCCACUGUAGAUGUUUUUUUAAAGGCAGCUAGCUACUUGGAUUGCGCAAAUCAACAAGUACUCCCGCAUAUAGCAUCAGAACUAAGGAGACAACUUCCAGUAGACCUGGCCAAUGGAAAUCUCAAUUCUCUUAGCCUGUAAGCUCAGCUCUCAAUCAGGUAUUCUAUUCGUAACUCAGCGUAUUUUUCUGAAGUUUUAGGCCUAACUCCCAAACAUCUUUUGUCAAGAGUAAGAAUGUAGCUGUUGAUGGUUGCUUGCUGAAGAAGAGUGGUAUCAAUAUUACCAUAGAAGUAGAUGUUUUUCGAAUUAUUCUUGAUUUUCUAUUAUGUUAAUAUAUCUCUGCUCUGUUUUUAAUUGGGAAUCCUUGCUCCUUGGGUCCCAGUAAAUUGUACAAAAGGUAAUUUAUCUGAAUUUUAUGGUCUUUUAGUUUGUUCCGAGCCUCUGAGUUUCCUCAGUUCUUCUGUACCUUUUAUUUGUUGGUUUACAUUUAUUGGAUGUUCCAAUGUUAUUCUAUGUUCAUAUGUGCAAUCGGAUUUACAAAACAACAAGCAAAGCAAUUUAUGAACAUUGCAUUUUCUAUUUUAUCAACGUUGCAUUUUCUUAGUUGUCGUUAGUUAGCAGAUGUGCUAGAACAACACACGCAUGUGUGCGAUUUUGCCCUGGCUUUCUGAUUUCUGAAUUGAAACGAGCAGGUGCAUGGGUUUCUUGAUAGAGUCAAGUAGCGGUGCUUUGAGCUUGAUGUCCCGUGACCCAGUUCCUUGAACUGGCUAACCCUUAUUGAUGUCGUAUAUCCUGAACUAACUCUCAUGACCAAGUCCUCAACACG